This 293-nucleotide ribosomal RNA is filed under the name uncultured bacterium. Its description in RNAcentral is "partial 16S ribosomal RNA". It matches the Rfam family "Bacterial small subunit ribosomal RNA", at positions 337 to 627 of the family's 1533-position model. The record is from RNAcentral.
GCCUACGGGGGGCAGCAGUGAGGAAUAUUGGUCAAUGGGCGAGAGCCUGAACCAGCCAAGUCGCGUGAGGGAAGACGGUCCUAUGGAUUGUAAACCUCUUUUGCCGGGGAGCAAAAAGCGGUACGUGUACCGCAUCGAGAGUACCCGGAGAAAAAGCAUCGGCUAACUCCGUGCCAGCAGCCGCGGUAAUACGGAGGAUGCGAGCGUUAUCCGGAUUUAUUGGGUUUAAAGGGGGCGCAGACGGCAAUGCAAGCCAGGAGUGAAAGCCCGGGGCCCAACCCCGGGACUGCUCU